UGGAUAUAGUCUUUUUUAUAGUUUAUUAAACAAUUUACUAUGUCAGGAUUAAAAAAUAGCAGCAUAAGGUUGAUUUUUUAAAUUAGUAUAAAAGCUAUAUCUA
Molecule: non-coding RNA, 103 nt
Filed under: Rhizosolenia imbricata
Lineage: Eukaryota; Bacillariophyta; Coscinodiscophyceae; Rhizosoleniales; Rhizosoleniaceae
Source: RNAcentral